Molecule: ribosomal RNA, 387 nt
Filed under: Gambusia holbrooki (eastern mosquitofish)
Lineage: Eukaryota; Metazoa; Chordata; Actinopteri; Cyprinodontiformes; Poeciliidae
Description: partial 16S ribosomal RNA
Rfam family: Bacterial large subunit ribosomal RNA
Source: RNAcentral
AUCACUUGUCUUUUAAAUGAAGACCCGUAUGAAUGGCAAAACGAGGGCUUAACUGUCUCCUCCCCCCAGUCAAUGAAAUUGAUCUCCCCGUGCAGAAGCGGGGAUAACAACAUAAGACGAGAAGACCCUAUGGAGCUUUAGACGCACUAGCAGACCAUAAAAAACAUUUUUUUCAAAAAAAUGGAACCAACUGACCCCUGCUUCAAUGUCUUUGGUUGGGGCGACCCCGGAGUAAUAAAAAACCCCCGAGCGGACUGAAGACACCCUAGCUUCAUAAUAUAGAGCCGCAGCUCACAAAACCAGAACUUCUGACCCUAAGAUCCGACACAGUCGAUCAACGGACCAAGUUACCCUAGGGAUAACAGCGCAAUCCCCUUUCAGAGCCCC